This 410-nucleotide ribosomal RNA is filed under the name uncultured bacterium. RNAcentral's name for it is "bacterial SSU rRNA". It matches the Rfam family "Bacterial small subunit ribosomal RNA", at positions 355 to 794 of the family's 1533-position model. The record is from RNAcentral.
UGGGGAAGUCUUGUCCAAUGGGCGAAGACCUGACGCAGCCAUGCCGCGUGAAUGAUGAAGGUCUUAGGAUUGUAAAAUACUUUCACCGGGGAGGCGGUACCCGGAGAAGAAGCUCCGGCUAACUUCGUGCCAGCAGCCGCGGUAAUACGAAGGGGGCUAGCGUUGCUCGGAAUUACUGGGCGUAAAGGCGCGUAGGCGGACACUUAGUCAGAGGUGAAAGCCCGGGCUCAACUUGGAACUGCCUUUGAUACUGGCUGUCUUGAGUUUGGGAGAGGUGUGUGGAACUCCAGUGUAGAGGUGAAAUUCGUAGAUAUUCGAAGAACACCAGUGGCGAAGGCGACACACUGGCCCAAUACUGACGCUGAGGCGCGAAAGCGUGGGGAGCAAACAGGAUUAGAUACCCGAGUAGU